CAUUAAUGUUCAGUGCAGAGCACACAAGGUGUUUGUGGAAAUGCCUCUCUGAGAAUCAAUCGCCGAAAUACAAGAAAAAAGAAAGAAAAGACAUAAAAGCUACCUAUCACGAGGGUGAGCAGCUGAAUCAACUACCAAUAGCCAAUCACAAGCUGCUGAGGAUGUGUUGCUUCUCCAUUCAAAAUCCAUAUGCUUUUCGACAGGAUAGAGGUGUUGGGGAAGUUGAUUACAAAGAGGAAGAGGAGAAUAGCUCAUUUUUCUCCUUUGUAUCAUUUCUUUGUAUAUGACUCUGAUAUUUAAUAGCGUUUCAAUUCAUUUUUAGUGCUUUUCUUGA
Long non-coding RNA from Cucurbita moschata (crookneck pumpkin), 334 nucleotides. RefSeq lists it as uncharacterized. The transcript is spliced from 2 exons. Lineage: Eukaryota; Viridiplantae; Streptophyta; Magnoliopsida; Cucurbitales; Cucurbitaceae. The record is from RefSeq and is a predicted model, not a curated record.